Gorilla gorilla gorilla (western lowland gorilla) is the source of this 689-nucleotide long non-coding RNA. RefSeq lists it as uncharacterized. The record is from RefSeq and is a predicted model, not a curated record. The transcript has 3 exons. NCBI's taxonomy places the organism in Eukaryota, Metazoa, Chordata, Mammalia, Primates, Hominidae.
AUUACCUAGAAGGUUGCCGGGUUGACCUAGUUCAGCCCGCAUAAGGAGGCUUAAAGCUGUGCCUAGGACCCCAGCUCAGGCACCGAACAACAGUAGAAAUGGGGUUUCACCAUGUUGGCAUGCUGGUCUCAAACUCCUGACCUCAAGUGAUCCACCCGCCUUGGCCUCCCAAAGUGCUGGAAUUACAGGCACAAGCUACUGCGCCGGGCCAGCCACUGCGCCCAGCCUGCUUUGCAAGUUUAAUUGGAAUGCCAGAGCACCUUAGCCUACGGCGGUGAGGCUUGCUGAAACUCAAGUUCCAAGCAAGGAGAUGGACAAUUUCUCUUUGGCUAGAGGUUCUAAAUGCUCCCUCUGUGGUCAUCAGCUGAGUUCUGCAAAGUGUUGUUUUCCACUGUGACAGGGCAGCAGUGAAUUCCAGUGCAAAAUCCCAUAAUCACUGCACUUCUCCUCCCCCAAUCAUACAGAUUCUCCACAUCAUGCAGUUCCUGCUAAGGAAUGGAAAAGGUGCGGGUUCAAGGAAGAUGAGACAAAUAUGGAAUAAGCUUGUAUCCAUUCCUGGAGCCUGGAGCCUGGAGCCUGGGGCCCAGAUACUCAAGAAGCCUUGAGUCUAAUUUAGUCCAGCUGAUUUUCAGCUAACCCUCGCACACAUAAACAUGAGAAUAAAUGAGUUUUCUUUCAAUUCAAAAUAA